UACAGAGGUCCCAAGCGUUGUUCGGAUUCAUUGGGCGUAAAGCGUGCGCAGGCGGUUUUGUAAGCCAGAUGUGAAAUCCCCGGGCUUAACCUGGGAAUGGCAUUUGGGACUGCAAGGCUCGAGUGCGGCAGAGGAGACUGGAAUUCCUGGUGUAGCAGUGAAAUGCGUAGAUAUCAGGAGGAACACCGAUGGCGAAGGCAGGUCUCUGGGCUGACACUGACGCUCAUGCACGAAAGCGUGGGGAGCAAACAGG
This 253-nucleotide ribosomal RNA is filed under the name uncultured bacterium. Its description in RNAcentral is "partial 16S ribosomal RNA". It matches the Rfam family "Bacterial small subunit ribosomal RNA", at positions 524 to 776 of the family's 1533-position model. The record is from RNAcentral.